GCCCUCGUGGCCUAAUGGAUAAGGCAUCGGUCUCCUAAACCGGGAAUUGCGGGUUCGAGUCUCGCCGAGGGUA
RNAcentral lists this transfer RNA (73 nucleotides) under Dermacentor andersoni. Its description in RNAcentral is "transfer RNA arginine (anticodon CCU)". It matches the Rfam family "tRNA". From Rfam's summary of the family: Transfer RNA (tRNA) molecules are approximately 80 nucleotides in length. Lineage: Eukaryota; Metazoa; Arthropoda; Arachnida; Ixodida; Ixodidae. The record is from RNAcentral.